RNAcentral lists this ribosomal RNA (255 nucleotides) under uncultured bacterium. Its description in RNAcentral is "partial 16S ribosomal RNA". It matches the Rfam family "Bacterial small subunit ribosomal RNA", at positions 524 to 776 of the family's 1533-position model. The record is from RNAcentral.
GACAGAGGCCCCAAGCGUUAGGCGGAAUCACUGGGCUUAAAGCGUGUGUAGGCGGACGCCUAAGUGUCUUGUGAAAUCCCACGGCUCACCCGUGGAACUGCUGGGCAUACUGGGCGUCUUGGGCCAACUAGGGGCAGCCGGAACAAGCGGUGGAGCGGUGAAAUGCGUAGAUAUCGCUUGGAACGCCGAAGGUGAAAACAGGCUGCUGGGGUUGCGGCCGACGCUGAGACACGAAAGCCCAGGGGAGCAAACGGG